RNAcentral lists this ribosomal RNA (387 nucleotides) under uncultured eukaryote. RNAcentral describes it as "SSU rRNA". It matches the Rfam family "Eukaryotic small subunit ribosomal RNA", at positions 587 to 972 of the family's 1831-position model. The record is from RNAcentral.
AGCUCCAAUAGCGUAUAUUAAAGUUGUUGCAGUUAAAAAGCUCGUAGUUGGAUUUCUGGCCGAAGCGACCGGUCGGUACCCUUUGUGGUAUGUGCACUGUUGUCGGCUUCGGCCAUCCUGGCGGAAAAGGUGCCUGGCCUUCACUGGUCGGGUGCGGGAUCCGCCACGUUUACUGUGAAAAAAUUAGAGUGUUUAAAGCAGGCGAUCGCUGUGAAUACAUUAGCAUGGAAUAAUGAGAUAGGACUUUGGUACUAUUUUGUUGGUUUGCGCACCAAGGUAAUGAUUAAUAGGGAUAGUUGGGGGUAUUCAUAUUCAAUUGUCAGAGGUGAAAUUCUUGGAUUUAUGGAAGAUGAACUUAUGCGAAAGCAUUUACCAAGGAUGUUUUCA